Molecule: ribosomal RNA, 363 nt
Filed under: Cordyceps tenuipes
Lineage: Eukaryota; Fungi; Ascomycota; Sordariomycetes; Hypocreales; Cordycipitaceae
Description: bacterial SSU rRNA
Rfam family: Eukaryotic small subunit ribosomal RNA
Source: RNAcentral
AAGGGAAAAUGCGUCUCAGUGUAGCACUUUAUACUGUGAAACUGCGAAUGGCUCAUUAAAUCAGUUAUCGUUUAUUUGAUAGUACCUUACUACAUGGAUACCUGUGGUAAUUCUAGAGCUAAUACAUGCUGAAAACCUCGACUUCGGAAGGGGUGUAUUUAUUAUAUAAAAAACCAAUGCCCUUCGGGGCUCCUUGGUGAAUCAUAAUAACUUAACGAAUCGCAUGGCCUUGCGCCGGCGAUGGUUCAUUCAAAUUUGUGCCCUAUCAAACUUCGAUGGGAGGGAGGUGGCCUACCACGGUGGCAAAGGGUUACGGGGAAUUAGGGUUCCAUUCCCCGGAGGGAGCCUGAAAAACGGCUACCA